AACUGAUACUACCUGCGGGAACCUGCGGAGGGAUCAUUACCGAGUUCGGAGUUCUGCUCCAACUCCCACCCUUGUUUACUCAAACGUUGCUUCGGCGAGACGUUGGAAAGCAACCAUCGGCAAUUCAUAAGAUGACCCGAUGCGUGCUCGCCGGACUCCAAAUACUCUGAGAUUAUGUAUCGUCAGAUGAAACAAGCAAUUAAAUAAAAACUUUCAACAAUGGAUCUCUAGAUCGGAAGA
This 240-nucleotide unclassified non-coding RNA is filed under the name soil metagenome. Its description in RNAcentral is "partial contains 5.8S ribosomal RNA, internal transcribed spacer 2, and large subunit ribosomal RNA". The record is from RNAcentral.